UACGUAGGGUGCAAGCGUUGUCCGGAAUCAUUGGGCGUAAAGAGCGCGCAGGCGGUCGAUCAAGUCGCGUGUGAAAGCCCCCGGCUCAACUGGGGAGGGUCACGCGAUACUGAUCGACUCGAAGGCAGGAGAGGGUAGUGGAAUUCCUGGUGUAGCGGUGAAAUGCGUAGAUAUCAGGAGGAACACCGGUGGUGUAGACGGCUUUCUGGACCGUAACUGACGCUGAGACACGAAAGCGUGGGUAGCAAACAGG
RNAcentral lists this ribosomal RNA (253 nucleotides) under uncultured bacterium. RNAcentral's name for it is "partial 16S ribosomal RNA". It matches the Rfam family "Bacterial small subunit ribosomal RNA", at positions 524 to 776 of the family's 1533-position model. The record is from RNAcentral.